UGUGUGUGUGUGUGUUUUGUUGUGUAUUAGCUGCUGGUGCCUGCAGGCAGUCCUCGGUUGCCCAGGAAACACAGAUGGUGGAUGAAGGGCGCGCAUACAAAAGAGCGUAAACCUGUGGCAGCAGCUGGAGACCGAGACCGCUGAUUAAUUCAGGUCUGUGCAGUCCUGCUUUAGUCAAAGACGUCGCUGUUCUCUUUAAUACCUCCCAUCCAUUUCUUUGUCCCGGGGCUUCCGUCUCCACUUCAUCCUGCUUUCUCCCUGGACUCCCCCCCCUCCGUCAGUGCGCAGCUGUUGUUGGCACUCCCACAUCUGCUCGUCUCAGCUCGGCAGCCAUACAGACGAUGGACGCUCAUGUUAGUGCGUAUACCGUGGAGGUCCGGAGGGCCACCAGCCUUUCACUGCAGGCGUGGUGUUUGAAGCUUGCCCUCAGCGUGGACAGAAACAGAAGAAGACGCAGGAGAAGGAGGUGCAGAGGUGGAGGAUCUUUUUCGCACCGUCUGAUGCUGCGGGACAGGUGCGCAGGAAACCUGGAGAUCACCGGCAACCUCGUGGACGGUGUUGCAUGGCCUUUGCACUGGAUUCAUCUCCACAGCUGCUGACAUGUCACCAGUCAGACCACAUGGGAGGAUCCGAAUGGGGGGACCAUCAGCAGGACAGGUUAUGUGUACAGGCCUGGAUUAUCUUUAUUAAAAUCACGAGGGAGGUUGAUUUUUCUGUGGCACACAUGACACAGACGGAGUAUUUAGCUGAAUAUAGACAGCGAAUGUCAGUGACGCCUAUCUCUAGUGACUUAUAUCUCCUCGCUGUGGGUGUAUUUCAGUCUCAUUUGUGUCUAAAUAAAAAAGCAGUAAGACAGAGUGAGAGAGAAACCAUAGAACCAGAAAUCUCUGGGGUAUCUCGAACAGUUGGGUCGCGUCCCACUUUUCUGCUGCUUUGUGUUGUGUGUCCCUCUCCAGUUACACUGAUGGGAAAGAAGAUCAGGGCUCGGGACCGGACCUCACUCGCCCGCUCCAUCAACCCGUCUACUGUGCUGCCUCACAGACUGGUACAGGAUCUGUCAGUAGAUUUACAGCAUGUGAUGGAUGCACGGUGCCAUUACAGCUGUCCCGUACCUUCAGAAGGAGACGAUCCACGUUCAAACCCACCCACCAACACCACCCCGCCUGCCUCCAUCCCCAACCGAGAGACGACUUCUGCUGCUCUUUGUGCAAUCUGUGAAAACGAGUUUAAAAAUGCAACCGCUGCUUUCGCAGUCAGCAUGAUCAGAUUUAGCAGGGAGGUAAUUUCAGGGCUGGUGUUUUGAGUCUAAAAUAAUUUGCUGCAGUGCUCUCCUUUUUUAAAAAUAUGUGUAUUUCAUCCUGACUGUGAGUAAUACUAAUACAGCUUCAUCCACCCACACACUGGUUUUUUUGUUUACUCUGGCUGAUGAGGAACACUGACACUGCAGCAUCAAACACCUCUCACGCCUGUUCGCUUCAGCUGUCGUGCGCGGUCACCUCCUCUCCUCUGUUUCCUUGGUUACUCUGUUUCACAUGUUGGUCCCUUCUCCCCGUGUCGAGACACUUUAAAUCCACUCGAAAAGCGUCUUCGCUUUGACGCUUGCUGUCCCGCGCGUGUUAACUUCUCACCAAAGCUUGCGUGCAAUCUGUGCCAAAUCCAGAACUGGAAAGCUCUGAUAUUUUAAUCCUGCAAUGUUGGGAAAAAAAAAAUCUGCUGAAGUGUGUGAGGAUGACUAGUUUUCUCACAUUUUUUUUGACAAAGUGUAAUUCACACAGUAUGUUCUUUGUUUGUCUUGAAAGCUCUUAAUUUGGAUGUGAUACCAGCGCACUGUGUGUAUUUUAACUGUAGCGCGUGGGUGCGUGCGUGCAUGUGUUUGUGUGCAUGUGCUCUAUUCGUGUGUGUGUGCGUGUGUGUUUGUUCCUGUACGUGUGCAUGUGUAUCAUGUCUGUCUGAUAAAAACAGACAUUUGCAACAGUCCUGAAGCUUUUAGCUGCUUUACGAUGAUUUCCUUCUAGCUGCAAACUUUAAAAAAAGAAUGCCUGAAGCUUCUUCUUUCAGCCACUGGAUGUACCAGAGAAGGGAUAAAAAAAUAUUUACAAAUGAUUCUUAGCAUUUGUUUCGACCUCUUGGAAGUACCAGUUAGGUGGGGAUUCUCGUGAUUUAGAUAAUCACAAGAAUGUCGCUGAAAAUUAAUGGUGUGUAGUUUUCUAAAUGAUGCCUGCUGGCAUUAAUUAAACUGUCAUGAUGCCUACAGCCCCACCAUCUGAUACUUAAGCAAAUUACAGCAAAUGCUAAUAAUUAUGUGCAAAUAGCUUUUUGCCCAGUCUGGAUUCUACUAACAGAAUCUCACUAAUAUCUAACAGUACUAAUGUCUGCUAACAGUCGGAUGAUUACUAACCUGUACUGCUGAUGGCUGGCCUUGUUCUUUCUAACCCAUUGACUAACCCUCUGCUUUAUGCCCGCAGUCUGAUGCACACACUCCUCUCUCAUGCUCCUGCAAUCCUUCUUCUAGAAAAAAAGACCAUCUUUAGAUUGAUUAUUAAAGAAGAAAAUCCCACGAAAAAACCUGUUAAAGCGAGCGAGUCGAGAAGGGUUUCAGGACUUGGGAAAGGGAUAUGUCAUUAACCACUAGAUGGAGGAGAGAGGAAA
This is a long non-coding RNA of Larimichthys crocea (large yellow croaker), 2649 nucleotides long. RefSeq lists it as uncharacterized. The record is from RefSeq and is a predicted model, not a curated record. The transcript is spliced from 3 exons. NCBI's taxonomy places the organism in Eukaryota, Metazoa, Chordata, Actinopteri, Sciaenidae.